GAUGAACGCUGGCGGCGUGCCUAAUACAUGCAAGUCGAGCGAACAGAUGAGGAGCUUGCUCCUCUGACGUUAGCGGCGGACGGGUGAGUAACACGUGGAUAACCUACCUAUAAGACUGGGAUAACUUCGGGAAACCGGAGCUAAUACCGGAUAAUAUAUUGAACCGCAUGGUUCAAUAGUGAAAGACGGUUUUGCUGUCACUUAUAGAUGGAUCCGCGCCGCAUUAGCUAGUUGUAAAGGUAACGGCUUACCAAGGCGACGAUGCGUAGCCGACCUGAGAGGGUGAUCGGCCACACUGGAACUGAGACACGGUCCAGACUCCUACGGGAGGCAGCAGUAGGGAAUCUUCCGCAAUGGGCGAAAGCCUGACGGAGCAACGCCGCGUGAGUGAUGAAGGUCUUCGGAUCGUAAAACUCUGUUAUUAGGGAAGAACAAAUGUGUAAGUAACUAUGCACGUCUUGACGGUACCUAAUCAGAAAGCCACGGCUAACUACGUG
Molecule: ribosomal RNA, 497 nt
Filed under: uncultured bacterium
Lineage: Bacteria
Description: partial 16S ribosomal RNA
Rfam family: Bacterial small subunit ribosomal RNA
Source: RNAcentral